CCUACGGGGAGCAGCAGUGGGGAAUAUUGGACAAUGGGCGAAAGCCUGAUCCAGCCAUGCCGCGUGUGUGAAGAAGGCCUUCGGGUUGUAAAGCACUUUCAGUGGGGAAGAAAGCCUUGGGGCUAAUACCCUCGAGGAAGGACAUCACCCACAGAAGAAGCACCGGCUAACUCCGUGCCAGCAGCCGCGGUAAUACGGAGGGUGCGAGCGUUAAUCGGAAUUACUGGGCGUAAAGCGCGCGUAGGCGGUCUGAUAAGCCGGUUGUGAAAGCCCCGGGCUCAACCUGGGAACGGCAGCCGGAACUGUCAGGCUAGAGUGCAGGAGAGGAAGGUAGAAUUCCCGGUGUAGCGGUGAAAUGCGUAGAGAUCGGGAGGAAUACCAGUGGCGAAGGCGGCCUUCUGGACUGACACUGACGCUGAGGUGCGAAAGCGUGGGUAGCAAACAGGAUUAGAUACCCUUGUAGUC
This 465-nucleotide ribosomal RNA is filed under the name Vreelandella stevensii. Its description in RNAcentral is "partial 16S ribosomal RNA". It matches the Rfam family "Bacterial small subunit ribosomal RNA", at positions 338 to 795 of the family's 1533-position model. Lineage: Bacteria; Pseudomonadati; Pseudomonadota; Gammaproteobacteria; Oceanospirillales; Halomonadaceae. The record is from RNAcentral.